GCCGACUUAGCUCAGUGGUAGAGCAACUGUUUUGUAAACAGUAGGUCGCCAGUUCAAAUCUGGCAGUCGGCUCCA
Molecule: transfer RNA, 75 nt
Filed under: Patescibacteria group bacterium
Lineage: Bacteria
Description: tRNA-Thr
Rfam family: tRNA
About the family: Transfer RNA (tRNA) molecules are approximately 80 nucleotides in length. Their secondary structure includes four short double-helical elements and three loops (D, anti-codon, and T loops).
Source: RNAcentral